GACGAACGCUGGCGGCGUGCUUAACACAUGCAAGUCGAACGGUGAAGCGCCUUCCUUUUGGUGGGUGUGGAUGAGUGGCGAACGGGUGAGUAACACGUGAGUAACCUGCCCCCUUCUUCCGGAUAACCGCAUGAAAGUGUGGCUAAUACGGGAUAUUCUGGGUCUGUCGCAUGAUGGGUCUGGGAAAGAUUGCGCCUUUGGGUGUUUUUGGUGGGGGAUGGGCUCGCGGCCUAUCAGCUUGUUGGUGGGGUGAUGGCCUACCAAGGCGGUGACGGGUAGCCGGCCUGAGAGGGUGGACGGUCACACUGGGACUGAGACACGGCCCAGACUCCUACGGGAGGCAGCAGUGGGGAAUAUUGCACAAUGGGCGCAAGCCUGAUGCAGCGACGCCGCGUGAGGGAUGGAGGCCUUCGGGUUGUAAACCUCUUUCGCCAGUGAAGCAGGCCUGCCCCUUGGUGGGUGGGUUGACGGUAGCUGGAUAAGAAGCGCCGGCUAACUACGUG
This 503-nucleotide ribosomal RNA is filed under the name uncultured Actinomyces sp. RNAcentral's name for it is "bacterial SSU rRNA". It matches the Rfam family "Bacterial small subunit ribosomal RNA", at positions 28 to 507 of the family's 1533-position model. The record is from RNAcentral. Lineage: Bacteria; Bacillati; Actinomycetota; Actinomycetes; Actinomycetales; Actinomycetaceae.